This 371-nucleotide ribosomal RNA is filed under the name uncultured bacterium. RNAcentral describes it as "bacterial SSU rRNA". It matches the Rfam family "Bacterial small subunit ribosomal RNA", at positions 527 to 896 of the family's 1533-position model. The record is from RNAcentral.
AGAGGUGGCAAGCGUUGUUCGGAAUUACUGGGCGUAAAGGGCGCGUAGGCGGCUUGGUCAGUCCCGUGUGAAAUCCCUCGGCUCAACUGAGGAACUGCACGGGAAACUGCCUGGCUUGAGUUCGGGAGAGGGAAGCGGAAUUCCGGGUGUAGCGGUGAAAUGCGUAGAUAUCCGGAGGAACAUCGGUGGCGAAGGCGGCUUCCUGGACCGACACUGACGCUGAGGCGCGAAAGCUAGGGGAGCAAACGGGAUUAGAUACCCCGGUAGUCCUAGCUGUAAACGAUGAGUGCUGGGUGUAGGGGGUAUCAACCCCCCCUGUGCCGAAGCUAACGCAUUAAGCACUCCGCCUGGGGAGUACGGUCGCAAGGCUG